GACGAUCGCUGGCGGCGUGCUUAACACAUGCAAGUCGAACGGAAAGGCCCUGCUUUUGUGGGGUGCUCGAGUGGCGAACGGGUGAGUAACACGUGAGUAACCUGCCCUUGACUUUGGGAUAACUUCAGGAAACCGGGGCUAAUACCGGAUAGGGGCUCCUGCUGCAUGGUGGGGGUUGGAAAGUUUCGGCAGUUGGGGAUGGACUCGCGGCUUAUCAGCUUGUUGGUGGGGUAGUGGCUUACCAAGGCUUUGACGGGUAGCCGGCCUGAGAGGGUGACCGGCCACAUUGGGACUGAGGUACGGCCCAGACUCCUACGGGAGGCAGCAGUGGGGAAUAUUGCACAAUGGGCGGAAGCCUGAUGCAGCAACGCCGCGUGCGGGAUGACGGCCUUCGGGUUGUAAACCGCUUUCGCCUGUGACGAAGCGUGAGUGACGGUAAUGGGUAAAGAAGCACCGGCUAACUACGUG
Molecule: ribosomal RNA, 468 nt
Filed under: uncultured bacterium
Lineage: Bacteria
Description: partial 16S ribosomal RNA
Rfam family: Bacterial small subunit ribosomal RNA
Source: RNAcentral